RNAcentral lists this ribosomal RNA (634 nucleotides) under uncultured archaeon. RNAcentral describes it as "bacterial SSU rRNA". It matches the Rfam family "Archaeal small subunit ribosomal RNA", at positions 39 to 666 of the family's 1478-position model. The record is from RNAcentral.
UAUGAACUAAACCUGUGAGUCUUGUAGCAAUACAAGGCAUACGGCUCAGUAACACGUAGCCAAUCUAACCUAUGGACGGGGAUAACCUCGGGAAACUGAGGAUAAACCCCGAUAGAUCAUUAUGCCUGGAAAGGUUUAUGGUCCAAAUGAUUCGUCGCCGUAGGAUGAGACUGCGGCCUAUCAUCUUGUUGGUGAGGUAAUGGCCCAGCCAAGGCUAUUACAGGUACGGGCUCUGAGAGGAGAAGCCCGGAGAUGGGUACUGAGACACGGACCCAGGCCCUAUGGGGCGCAGCAGGCGAGGAAACCUUUGCAAUGUGCGCAAGCACGACAAGGUUAAUCCGAGUGUUUCCUGCUAAAGGGAAUCUUUUGCUAGUCCUAGAAACACUAGUGAAUAAGGGGGUGGGGAAAGUUCUUGGUGGCAUGCCGAGGCAGGAUAAACCAGGACCUGAAGGUGGGUCAGGGAGGAUUAUUUGGGCCUAAAGCAUGGCGUAGCUUAGGUCGUGUAGGUGUACCGGGAAAUCCAUAAACUCAGCUUAGUGGCCUGCCAGAAUAUUGCAGGCUAGGNGUAGGAAAAGUAGCCGGUUCUUCCAGAGGAAUGGAGAAAUCCGUUGGUGUUAUUUAGGACCGCCUGUGG